This 775-nucleotide long non-coding RNA is filed under the name Salvia miltiorrhiza (redroot sage). Its description in RNAcentral is "long non-coding RNA (SMIL_LNC007924)". Lineage: Eukaryota; Viridiplantae; Streptophyta; Magnoliopsida; Lamiales; Lamiaceae. The record is from RNAcentral.
AUAAUCUCAGAGAAGCUAAUGAACCGUCGUCGUCAGGAGGGAAUGACCGUCUGUUUAACUGGAUUUGGAAUCUGGAGGUGAUCCCUAAAGUCCGCCUCUUUCUAUGGAAAUGUCUGGUUGAAGCGUUGCCCACUUCUAGAGCUCUACUCUCAAGGUCAAUUUCUGUUGAUCCUUCCUGUCCUCGAUGCGGCGAUCACAUUGAAACGGUGGAACACGCUCUUAGAGAUUGUAGCUGGACUCGGUUCUUUUGGUCAGCUUCUCCUCUCUGCCUUCCACCAACGCCAAACGAAGAAAUUUGUUCUAUCCUGGAUUGGUUUGAAAAGAUCAGAGAGUCAAAUGAGAAGGAUGUCCAUAAAGUGUUUGCUAACUUGAUUUGGACGUUGUGGUAUGCUAGGAAUUUACUUGUGUUUCAAGGAAAAAUAUUAAGCCAUCAAGAGUGUUUUGACAUGGCCAAACGCAAUUUCUGGACCAAGCCAACGUGUAUGCCGGACUCUAAUCAGCCAACCGCUCAUAAGGUUAGCCGGAGUAGGGACAGCCAACUGGUGGUGGCCUGCGACGCUGCUGUAUUGAACGGAGCAGGGGUGGGGUAUGGAGCUGUGGUUACUAGUGCUUCCGAUUCGGUUGAGUGCUGUGGCUUCGGCUUCCUUCCUGGGGCGUUUUCUGUGAUUGAAGGUGAAGCUGCUGCUAUGCUUGAAGGAAUGCGGGUGGCUGUGGAUUACGGCUGGGAUGAUUUGAUUAUGGAAACGGACUGUCAAGAUCUUUAUUGGAGGCUUAC